RNAcentral lists this ribosomal RNA (625 nucleotides) under Staphylococcus aureus. RNAcentral's name for it is "bacterial SSU rRNA". It matches the Rfam family "Bacterial small subunit ribosomal RNA", at positions 149 to 762 of the family's 1533-position model. Lineage: Bacteria; Bacillati; Bacillota; Bacilli; Caryophanales; Staphylococcaceae. The record is from RNAcentral.
UCGGGAAACCGGAGCUAAUACCGGAUAAUAUUUUGAACCGCAUGGUUCAAAAGUGAAAGACGGUCUUGCUGUCACUUAUAGAUGGAUCCGCGCUGCAUUAGCUAGUUGGUAAGGUAACGGCUUACCAAGGCAACGAUGCAUAGCCGACCUGAGAGGGUGAUCGGCCACACUGGAACUGAGACACGGUCCAGACUCCUACGGGAGGCAGCAGUAGGGAAUCUUCCGCAAUGGGCGAAAGCCUGACGGAGCAACGCCGCGUGAGUGAUGAAGGUCUUCGGAUCGUAAAACUCUGUUAUUAGGGAAGAACAUAUGUGUAAGUAACUGUGCACAUCUUGACGGUACCUAAUCAGAAAGCCACGGCUAACUACGUGCCAGCAGCCGCGGUAAUACGUAGGUGGCAAGCGUUAUCCGGAAUUAUUGGGCGUAAAGCGCGCGUAGGCGGUUUUUUAAGUCUGAUGUGAAAGCCCACGGCUCAACCGUGGAGGGUCAUUGGAAACUGGAAAACUUGAGUGCAGAAGAGGAAAGUGGAAUUCCAUGUGUAGCGGUGAAAUGCGCAGAGAUAUGGAGGAACACCAGUGGCGAAGCGACUUUCUGGUCUGUAACUGACGCUGAUGUGCGAAAGCGU